This 466-nucleotide ribosomal RNA is filed under the name uncultured bacterium. RNAcentral describes it as "partial 16S ribosomal RNA". It matches the Rfam family "Bacterial small subunit ribosomal RNA", at positions 28 to 507 of the family's 1533-position model. The record is from RNAcentral.
GAUGAACGCUGGCGGCGUGCUUAACACAUGCAAGUCGAACGAUGAAGCCCAGCUUGCUGGGUGGAUUAGUGGCGAACGGGUGAGUAACACGUGAGUAACCUGCCCUUAACUCUGGGAUAAGCCUGGGAAACUGGGUCUAAUACCGGAUAGGAGCGCCUACCGCAUGGUGGGUGUUGGAAAGAUUUAUCGGUUUUGGAUGGACUCGCGGCCUAUCAGCUUGUUGGUGAGGUAAUGGCUCACCAAGGCGACGACGGGUAGCCGGCCUGAGAGGGUGACCGGCCACACUGGGACUGAGACACGGCCCAGACUCCUACGGGAGGCAGCAGGGGGGAAUAUUGCACAAUGGGCGAAAGCCUGAUGCAGCGACGCCGCGUGAGGGAUGACGGCCUUCGGGUUGUAAACCUCUUUCAGUAGGGAAGAAGCGAAAGUGACGGUACCUGCAGAAGAAGCACCGGCUAACUACGUG